UACGAAGGGGGCUAGCGUUGCUCGGAAUCACUGGGCGUAAAGUGCACGUAGGCGGCUUACUAAGUCAGGGGUGAAAUCCUGGAGCUCAACUCCAGAACUGCCUUUGAUACUGGUGAGCUUGAGUCCGGAAGAGGUGAGUGGAACUGCGAGUGUAGAGGUGAAAUUCGUAGAUAUUCGGAAGAACACCAGUGGCGAAGGCGACUUACUGGACACAUAUUGACGCUGAGGUGCGAAAGCGUGGGGAGCGAACAGG
RNAcentral lists this ribosomal RNA (253 nucleotides) under uncultured bacterium. RNAcentral describes it as "partial 16S ribosomal RNA". It matches the Rfam family "Bacterial small subunit ribosomal RNA", at positions 524 to 776 of the family's 1533-position model. The record is from RNAcentral.